ACUUAAUGUGACUUGAUUUAGCGAUUGGUGUUGAUUUGCCCAAAUCAUUGAGAGAAAGAAAAUUCAGCAAAGGCAAAGACCUCAAAAGCACAAAUUGAAAAUUGUUCCAAUAGUCAAAAGACUAUGAACAAGGCAAGUAGCCACUUGGAUAGGUGACCAACUGAAAAAUAUAAACCUUCAAAUUAAAAAUAGGUUGGUGACCUUUCCAAGCGAGAUCUAAAGUGCAAAAGCCUGAAUAAAGUAUUUCAAGGUAAGGGCAAGUCAAUCCAAAAGUUAGAAAAAGUCUUAAACAAAUUAAUGUGCAUGUCUCUAUUGAGGAAAAUAAAUCCUAGCCAUGGUAAGCAAAGGGAAACAAGGAAAGAAGGUAAGUAAUCUUCAUGCAUAUAUUCUUCACUGCAGUGCUUCAGAAUAGGUGUCUAGAGUAAGAGUUUAAGUGGAAAUAAGGAUCCAGAGUGAGAAAGCUUGUUUGACU
RNAcentral lists this long non-coding RNA (472 nucleotides) under Manihot esculenta (cassava). Its description in RNAcentral is "long non-coding RNA (MESC_LNC005098)". The record is from RNAcentral. Lineage: Eukaryota; Viridiplantae; Streptophyta; Magnoliopsida; Malpighiales; Euphorbiaceae.